UACGGGGGGGGCAAGCGUUGUUCGGAAUUACUGGGCGUAAAGCGCGCGUAGGCGGCUUUGCAAGUCGGGUGUGAAAUCCCCAGGCUUAACCUGGGAACUGCAUUCGAGACUGCAUCGCUAGAGUAUCGGAGAGGGAAGUGGAAUUUCAGGUGUAGCGGUGAAAUGCGUAGAUAUCUGAAGGAACAUCAGUGGCGAAAGCGACUUCCUGGACGAAUACUGACGCUCAUGUGCGAAAGCGUGGGGAGCAAACAGG
This 253-nucleotide ribosomal RNA is filed under the name uncultured bacterium. Its description in RNAcentral is "partial 16S ribosomal RNA". It matches the Rfam family "Bacterial small subunit ribosomal RNA", at positions 524 to 776 of the family's 1533-position model. The record is from RNAcentral.